Molecule: non-coding RNA, 96 nt
Filed under: Macrococcoides caseolyticum
Lineage: Bacteria; Bacillati; Bacillota; Bacilli; Caryophanales; Staphylococcaceae
Also listed under: 1 other name
Description: Macrococcus caseolyticus TPP sequence
Rfam family: TPP riboswitch aptamer (THI element)
About the family: Vitamin B(1) in its active form thiamin pyrophosphate (TPP) is an essential coenzyme that is synthesised by coupling of pyrimidine and thiazole moieties in bacteria.
Source: RNAcentral
UAUAUACACUAGGGGUGCCUUGCGCUGAGAUGGCUUUUGCCGAACCCUUUACCUGAUCCGGAUAAUGCCGGCGUAGGAAAGUUGUGCUAAGUACCC